UGCAAGUCGAACGAUGAUGCCCAGCUUGUUGGNUGGAUUAGUGGCGAACGGGUGAGUAAANACGUGAGUAACCUGCCCUUAACUCUGGGAUAAGCCUGGGAAACUGGGUCUAAUACCGGAUAUGACUCCUCAUCGCAUGGUGGGGGGUGGAAAGCUUUUUGUGGUUUUGGAUGGACUCGCGGCCUAUCAGCUUGUUGGUGAGGUAAUGGCUUACCAAGGCGACGACGGGUAGCCGGCCUGAGAGGGUGACCGGCCACACUGGGACUGAGACACGGCCCAGACUCCUACGGGAGGCAGCAGUGGGGAAUAUUGCACAAUGGGCGCAAGCCUGAUGCAGCGACGCCGCGUGAGGGAUGACGGCCUUCGGGUUGUAAACCUCUUUCAGUAGGGAAGAAGCGAAAGUGACGGUACCUGCAGAAGAAGCGCCGGCUAAUUACGUGCCAGCANCCGCGGUAAUACGUAGGGCGCAAGCGUUAUCCGGAAUUAUUGGGCGUAAAGAGNUCGUAGGCGGUUUGUCGCNUCUNCCGUGAAAGUCCGGGGNUCAACUCCGNAUCUGCGGUGGGUACGGGCAGACUAGAGUGAUGUAGGGGAGACUGGAAUUCCUGGUGUAGCGGUGAAAUGCGCAGAUAUCAGGAGGAACACCGAUGGCGAAGGCAGNUCUCUGGGCAUUAACUGACGCUGAGGAGCGAAAGCAUGGGGAGCGAACAGGAUUAGAUACCCUGGUAGUCCAUNCCCGUAAACGUUGGGCACUAGGUGUGGGNGACAUUCCACGUUUUCCGCGCCGUAGCUAACGCAUUAAGUGCCCCGG
Molecule: ribosomal RNA, 808 nt
Filed under: uncultured bacterium #0319-6K1
Lineage: Bacteria; Bacillati; Actinomycetota; Actinomycetes
Description: bacterial SSU rRNA
Rfam family: Bacterial small subunit ribosomal RNA
Source: RNAcentral